RNAcentral lists this long non-coding RNA (1304 nucleotides) under Mus caroli (Ryukyu mouse). RNAcentral's name for it is "lncRNA (MGP_CAROLIEiJ_G0004062.1)". The record is from RNAcentral. Lineage: Eukaryota; Metazoa; Chordata; Mammalia; Rodentia; Muridae.
GUUGUUUGGAAAAGCCAAUAUGCAAACUGCUCAGUCUGCGCCUGGCCCCCGCCCCACGAGGCCCCAUUAGCAGCCACUUUCCCAAAACAGCCCGCCCUGCUUUGGAAGGUUCCUUUCUAUUCAACCCGAGCAGGGCCCAGCAGCAGCCUGCUUGCCAGGCCCUGAGCUCGGAAAGACAAAGGGCCGCGAUUGAAUUUUCUCGGCGGCGCAGAAUCUGAAGAUGUUGUUUACUCUAGAGAAUGAGCUGAAGUUCCCGGCCCGAGGGUGCAGUCUCUAGCCGCUCACCCGCCAUUAGUCAUAACUUAAUAAAAGCCCUAAACUAGCGGAAGAGCCGGCUGCAAAGGCGCAGAGAUUGCCUUAGUUCACCCCAAGAAAAGGGGUUUCUUCAUCUCAUUUUAUUUUCUAGAAAAUGCCAUCUGAAAUGAGGUCCAGCAUCCAGCAGAGGCAGACUUGGGGACUUGAAGAGGUGGAUUCGAAUCCUGCUCUGGUUUUUAUUAGCAGUAGGACCUGAUGUGGUUUCCUGCAGUUAGAGCUGAAGCGGUUCUCUCAGAAAUGACAGCAUAGCGGACACGUCUGGUUUCCUCCCGUGUUUAUCCUUUUGAAAGAACCCCCAUUUUCGUCUAGGAUCCACCUGCCCUCCUGGGUCUAGAGUGAGAUCCUGAUUGCUUCAAGUCAGUAGUGGUGCUCCCCACCCCUGCCUCGGGGGCCAUAUGAUACAACUCUAGUCAGAGCUUUGAGUGGAAAUAGUCCUAGGAGUUUCUAGGAAUAAUUCCCCCCCCCCUUUAAGAAAGAGUCCCAUGGAAGCCAAGAGGUAAGUCUGCCUGAAGAAGCUAACAUGCUGAAGUUGUCAAGAGUGAAAGAAAAGAGGGGAGGGGGUUGUUGAUACUGAAAGAACAGGAUAGCCACAGGGCUUGGUGAAGCCUAAACUUCUAUGCCUGGGAGCCCCAAGAACCCCAGGAGAGAAACAAGUAUGGAAAAAAGAAUGGAAAAAAGGUUUCUAAAGACAGGUUUAACUGUGAAAGGAAGAUCCACCCUAAUGUUGACAGCACCAUCCUGUGCUUCAGGGCCCAGACUGAAUAAAAAGGAAAAGGGAAAAUGGGAAGCUGAGCUCCAGCCUUCAUCUCUGCUCCCUGCAUCUCUCACAUUCAAGCCACCGAGGAGCCUUCUCUGCCACGAUGGACUGCAUCUUCAACUGUGAGCCAAAUACUUCCUUCCUCAAGGUGCUUGCCAGACUAUGGGUAUGAUGAUAGCUGCUUCAAGCUCCUGCUGCCUUGAGUACUCUACAGCAGACCUGCAAUUCUGAA